UUUUUCAUUUUUCGUUUCUUGUUUUUUUUUAUUAAAUGGAGAGCGUCCUCUUUUACUAGUGGUCAGAGAGAGUUAUUGGAGAGAGGUGUCAUUUUUUUUCUUUUCCGAAAAUUGGGCCUCUCUUUUAUGAAGAGGAUCUCCUCUUUUUUAUUCUUUUUCUUUAAAACCAAUCUCUUUCUCAUGAGCUGUCACCAAAUCCUUUU
Molecule: long non-coding RNA, 203 nt
Filed under: Lathyrus oleraceus (garden pea)
Lineage: Eukaryota; Viridiplantae; Streptophyta; Magnoliopsida; Fabales; Fabaceae
Description: Pisum sativum (pea) long non-coding RNA (PSAT_LNC013242)
Source: RNAcentral